GACGAACGCUGGCGGCGUGCUUAACACAUGCAAGUCGAACGGGAUCCGGGCUUUCGGGUUUGGUGAGAGUGGCGAACGGGUGAGUAACACGUGAGUAACCUGCCCCCUUCUUUGGGAUAACGUCGGGAAAUCGGCGCUAAUACUGGAUAUUCUUGCUGCAUCGCAUGGUGUGGUUUGGAAAGGGUUUCUGGUGGGGGAUGGGCUCGCGGCCUAUCAGCUUGUUGGUGGGGUGAUGGCCUACCAAGGCUUUGACGGGUAGCCGGCCUGAGAGGGUGUUCGGCCACACUGGGACUGAGACACGGCCCAGACUCCUACGGGAGGCAGCAGUGGGGAAUAUUGCACAAUGGGCGCAAGCCUGAUGCAGCGACGCCGCGUGAGGGAUGACGGCCUUCGGGUUGUAAACCUCUUUCAGUAUGGAACAAGGAUCCUUCUUUUGGGGGGUUUGAGGGUACGUGCAGAAGAAGCGCCGGCUAACUACGUG
Molecule: ribosomal RNA, 481 nt
Filed under: uncultured bacterium
Lineage: Bacteria
Description: partial 16S ribosomal RNA
Rfam family: Bacterial small subunit ribosomal RNA
Source: RNAcentral